RNAcentral lists this transfer RNA (74 nucleotides) under Marinilabiliales bacterium. RNAcentral's name for it is "tRNA-Met". It matches the Rfam family "tRNA". Rfam says of the family: Transfer RNA (tRNA) molecules are approximately 80 nucleotides in length. Their secondary structure includes four short double-helical elements and three loops (D, anti-codon, and T loops). Lineage: Bacteria; Pseudomonadati; Bacteroidota; Bacteroidia; Marinilabiliales. The record is from RNAcentral.
GGGCCCAUAGCUCAGCUGGUUAGAGCACCUGACUCAUAAUCAGGGGGUCCAUGGUUCGAGCCCAUGAGGGACCA